UGGGGAAUUUUUCGCAAUGGGGGAAACCCUGACGAAGCAACGCCGCGUGGAGGAUGAAGGCCUUCGGGUCGUAAACUCCUGUCGACCGGGACGAAAGUGGUUCGACCUAAUACGUCGGGCCAUCGACUGUACCGGUGGAGGAAGCCACGGCUAACUCUGUGCCAGCAGCCGCGGUAAUACAGAGGUGGCAAGCGUUGUUCGGAAUUACUGGGCGUAAAGGGCGCGUAGGCGGCUCUCUAAGUCCCGUGUGAAAGCCCUCGGCUUAACCGAGGAACUGCACGAGAAACUGGAGAGCUUGAGUUCGGGAGAGGGAAGCGGAAUUCCGGGUGUAGCGGUGAAAUGCGUAGAUAUCCGGAGGAACACCGGUGGCGAAGGCGGCUUCCUGGACCGACACUGACGCUGAGGCGCGAAAGCUAGGGGAGCAAACGGGAUUAGAUACCCCGGUAGUCCUAGCUGUAAACGAUGAGUGCUGGGUGUAGGGGGUAUUAACCCUCCUGUGCCGAAGCUAACGCAUUAAGCACUCCGCCU
RNAcentral lists this ribosomal RNA (528 nucleotides) under uncultured Acidobacteriota bacterium. RNAcentral's name for it is "bacterial SSU rRNA". It matches the Rfam family "Bacterial small subunit ribosomal RNA", at positions 355 to 874 of the family's 1533-position model. Lineage: Bacteria; Pseudomonadati; Acidobacteriota. The record is from RNAcentral.